RNAcentral lists this long non-coding RNA (5974 nucleotides) under Nicotiana tabacum (common tobacco). RNAcentral describes it as "long non-coding RNA (NTAB_LNC010949)". The record is from RNAcentral. Lineage: Eukaryota; Viridiplantae; Streptophyta; Magnoliopsida; Solanales; Solanaceae.
UCUUUUUCUCUAACAAAAAAAAAACGGAUCCCUCACCCUCUUUGGAGAAAAAACCCUAGAGCCUUGUUCCUCCUACUUCUCUCCAUUCACUCCCACCUAGAACAUAAACUAGUAUUCACUCCCAAACUCUCACUCUCGAAUUUCUCACCAUAGUUGAAUUUCGAAGUUUGGAUUCAGAGAUCUAAAAAAAAAGAUUUGAAACGAGGAGGAAAACAGUAGACCUUGAGGUUGAGUUUGACACUCAAAGCAACUUAAAUUAAACGACUAUUGUUCCUAGUGAUUCAAAGAAUUCUUCUUAGUCAUUUUUUCGGUUUUUUAAAAGCUGGUUUUCAUCUGGAUUGAAGUCGUUUCUGCUGCCUCUGUGUUGCCGAGUUCAUUCAUCAUUUCAGACCUUAUUUGGUUAUUAAGCGCUUAUUUUUUCUGCUCUUAGGUAUGUAAACAUUCCUCUAUUUUCACUUGUUUGAAUUUAUGAAUGAAAUUUGGUUUGCUCGUAUUGAGUUUAUGUUGUUUACUUAGAUUCUGAUUGCAAUGAUUUAUUAUGAACUGAAUAUAUCUAGGAUGAGCUGAUAUGAUGCUAAAAACAUAAUGUGAAUUUAAGUAGUGAAAAAAAUAAUAAUAAUUAUAAAGAGUAAUUCCAUAGCUUAAAAUUAAUUGUUUAAAUCCUAAUAUUCUUCUACUAGUUUGGAUUGUUAUGUGAAAGUUCUAGUUCGCAAGGAUAACUCAGUGGCUAUUCUCGUGCAAAUUAAAUGGGCCCUGCGGCAUACUGCCUGGCAGCUUUAAGAUCGUAAUGGACCUGUCCCUCAUUUUCGAUUUCCAUUUUAAUUUGUUGAAAUCCAUAACUAGGAUAGCUUGACAAUUUCACUAAAUUAAUGUAAACGUGAAUCUUACAAUUCUUCCACAAAUAAUUUCAUAAUUUAUGGCCUUACAACAAUCUUAAAUUAACUUUAGAAAAAUAACUUAUAAACAUUCGUAGCUUGUUUUAGGCGCAAUUAACUUUAAAUAAUCGUGACUAUGGGUACGGUUCCCGUGGCAUAGUCAUGAUACAUAAAUCCCAAUCCGAGUAUGCGUUUCACGUGACUCGACUAGAACUUCAAAUAAUAAUAAAAAUUAACAUGUUGUAAAUCGCGGGUGCGUUUCACUUGGAGCGAUUCACAAUGUGUACAAAAACAAACGAGUGCGCGACAUCGCGACUUGUUCAAACAAAUUCCAUUAAUAAUUAAAAGCGGUAAAGAGUAAAAUGCACAAUAGAUCUAAAACAUGUAUUAAAUCAGAUAAUUAGACUAAUUAUUAAUAAUUGAGCAACCGUGCUAAAACCAUGGAAUUCGGGAGUGCCUCACGCCUUCUCCCGGGUUAAUAAAAUUCCUUACCCGGUCUUCUGUGUUCGCAGACCAAGAAUAGAGUCAAUUUUCUCGAUUUGGGAUUUUAAAAUAAACCGGUGACUUGGGAUACCAUAAUAAAUUAUUCUAAGUGGCGACUCUGAAUAAAUAAAUAAUCCCAUUUCUGAUAAUGUCACUUUAAUUAGAAAAACUCCCCUAUCCCCCUCGGGACAAAUGAGGUGUGACAACUCUAGCGACUCUGCUGGGGAUCACGAACCCAGAACUUCUGGUUCAGGGUUCAGAAUUCGAGCUUAGAUGACUGUUAUUAUACUUGGCUACUUGUGAUUGUCUGAUAUUACAUGUUUGGGCCUAAUGUGCUAAAUGCCGCUUUUUACCGCUUUGAUAUUGUUUGAACUGUAUAUAAAACUGUUACGAAACCCUUCUUCUCUCUGAGUCUUCUAAAUCUUCUGGGAAGUGCACGCUGGCGUGACUUCUUUUCUGUUAGUGUCAUACCAUAAUUUAGAACGAGGAUCAGAUCAGUUAUAAAGCCGGAUGAUCUUUUGGUUAUCGGUACGUUCGCUCCCCCCCCCCCCCACGUUGUCCACUCGAGCAAGCCAGGUCUAGAACAACACACCUCAGGAUUCAAACCUAGAAUAACAUAGACUCAUGCCGGAUCCCUAGUAGGAACGUUUGUCUGCAUCACGUGCAUUUGACUUUGGGAACUCAACACAGGGGUUGGGUCCGUCUCGGACAGGUGUACCCGAAAUAAAAAGACCAUCCUGAUGCAUUUUAUGUGCUACUUGUGCAUUUAUUUAUUUCAGAUUGCAUGUUGACCGGCUUCUAGAAUAGGGAAAGAAAAAUCAAGAGUGAGGCAGGAGAGAAAAAAUUUUCCCGGUCCUGAAAAAUUCAGGUAUUUGAAAAUUCCCGAAACUCUGCCAAAAUUUUGAAAAAAAGAAAAGAAAAAGAAAAAUCAUUUCAAAAUGAGCCAAUGUUUUGAAAAGUCAUAUUUUCCUGUUGUGUCAAAACUGGCAGAACUACGCGGGUAUGAUUCUCACCGGAUGUGAGAUAUGUAGUAAAACCCCAUCGGUUCCCGCUCACAAUUUUCGAAACAAAUCCAAAACUAUUUUCCUUUACUUCCUUCUUUAGAAAGUCUUUCUUUUAGACCCAAACUUUAAAAAAAAAAAAUACAAAAGCAUUUUUCUUUUAAUUUCUUCUCAAAAUCCAAAAAUAUUUUCAUUCUUCUUUCGAAAAUUAAAAAGAAAAUUCAAGAUUCAAAAAAUAUUUUCUUUUUUCUUUAGAAGUAUUUCUUUCAUAAAUUCAAAAUAAAUGUCCAAAAAUCGAAAAAUAUUUCCUUUCUUCUUUAGAAAUUUUUUCUUUCAAAAUUCCAGAAAACAAAAAGUCGAAAUUCAAAAAUAUAAUGUUUUCUUUCUUCUUUAGAAGUAUUUCUUUUCAAAAAUUCUUAAAAAAAACAAACAAAUCGAAAUCCAAAAAUAUUUUCUUUCUUCUUUAUAAGUCUUUGUUUCGAAAAAACAAUUCAAAAAAAAAAAAGAGUUAGUUUAUUUCCUUUUUCCUGAUCUUCCCGAACUACGCAAGAUCUAAUUCAUGUUCUCACAUGAUACGUAGGCAACCCACAUCAGGUUCGAUCGACCAUUUUUUUUAAAAAAGUGUUAAAAAAUAAUGAUAAAAAUAAUAAGGACCGACUGAGUCCAUUCUAACGUGUCUCUUGUUUUGAAUUGUAAAGAAAGGUUGAGGUGGUCGGUUUGUGAUAAGCCGACAACACAAGAUCCAAGGAAAAAUAACAACUGACAUCGAAGUUGUUACGAGUGCUCAAGAGACUCAGGGUCAGAGGGUUCAACAAGAGUCUACGGUGGUUGAGGAAAAUAGCGUACUGAAGCAGCAAAUGACUGAAAUGUGUCAAGCAUGGGCCAAUGGCCAAGGACCACCUUUUUUCUAUUCAUGGUUUCCCAGAGUUCACAUCCAUUUAGACUACUACCACUCCGCUCUCAUUGUAUGAUCAAUCCUAUCCAUAUGGGUUCAGUCUUUAUCCCAACUGUAUGACUACAGCUCGAACUUCUGUUGCGCGCUCCCAAAGUGUGCCAUUGACAACCAAUCAGACAACCACUAUUGUUAUGCCUGUCUUCACCAUCCCACAGCCGACAGUGGUACAAAAUAAAAGUCACGAGUCAUAAUUUGCUACCCAGCAAGAACAAUAAUACUCUCCUGAGUACCACUCGUACCUAUUUGAUCUUCCUACAAAUAUUAAGAAGCCUUCCCGAAAGAUAGCACAGGAAGAAAUGACCCAAAGAAUGAAAAGCUUAGAACACUUGAAAAACAUGCAAGGGUUGGCAUGUCAGAAGAGUAUUGCCUUCAAGGAUCUAUGUAUGUUACCCGAUGUUCGUUUGCCACUUGGUUUCAAGAUCCCCAAAUUUGAAAAAUAUGAUGGACAUGGCGACCCAAUAGCUCACUUGAAAAGGUAUUGCAAUCAGCUAAGAGGUACGGGAAGAAAUGAAGAAUUGCUAAUGGCUUAUUUUGGGGAAAGCCUGACAGGGGUAGCUUCUGAAUGGUUUAUUGAUCAAGACACCUCUCACUAGCAUGUCUGGGAUGACAUGGCCCGGGCCUUUGUCAGACAAUUCCAGUAUAAUAUUGACAUCGCCCCAGACCGUAAUUCCCUUUCCAACCUGAAGAAGAAGCCGACUGAAAGCUUCAGGGAAUAUGCCAUUAAAUGGAGAGAGCAAGCAACUAGAGUUAAGCCACCCAUGGAUGACCACGAGCUAAUCGUUGUCUUCCUUCAGGCACAAGAUCUAGAUUAUUUCCAAAACAUAAUAUCCGCAGUUGGUAAAUCCUUCUCAGAAGCAAUCAAAAUUGGGGAAAUGAAUGAGAAUGGCCUUAAGACAGACAAAAUUAUAAAUCAAGCAGUUCUCAAAGUCGCAACUUAGGCUGUCCAAAUUGAAUCUGUUAAUUUUAGUGACACGAAUGAGAAGGGUGAAGAAAUCAUGAUGACAACAGGUUCGAGAUAGGUCCUAGGAGAACAUCUCAAAUGUAUGAUGUAACGACCCGGCCGAUCGUUUUGAGAGUUAGAUAACCGAACCCCUAUUAACUUCUUUCCCCAAAUCUAUUUUUGUUAUUAUGACUUGUCGGGAUGAUUAGUUUUGAGUUUUGGAGUAUUUUGGGAUACUUAGUCUCUAAAUGAGAGCUUAAGCCUUAGGAUUUGGACCGUAGUCGGAACUAUAUAAAUAUGAUACCGAAAUGGAAUUCCGUCAGUUUCGUUAGCUCCGUUAGGUGAUUUUGGUUUUAGGAGCGUGUCUGGAUUGUGUUUUGGAGGUUCGAAGCUCAUUUAGGCUUGAAAUGGCGAAAGUCGAAUUUUUGAAGUUUUGGGCCGGUAGUGGAAUUUUUGAUAUCGGGGUCGUUUUCUGAUUCUGGAAGUUAGAGUAGGUCCGUAAUGUUGAUUAUGACUUGUGCGCAAAAUUUGUGGUCAAUCGGACGUGAUUUGAUAGGUUUCGGCAUCAAUUGUAGAAUUUUAAACUUUCAAGUUCUUUAAGUUUGAAUUGGAGGGUGAUUCGUGAUUUUAGCAUUGUUUGAUGUGAUUUGAGAGCUCGACUAAGUUCGUAUGGUGUUUUAGGAUUGGUUGGUAUGUUUGGUCGAGGUCCCGGGGGCCUCGGGUGUAUUUCAGAUGCUCAACGAGUCAUCUUUGGACUUAGAGAAGUGGCAGAUUUUUGGUGCUUUAUUGCAGAAAAUAUCCUUCAUCGUGAUCGCGAGAGGUGCCUCGCGAUCGCGUAGAGCAUCUGGGAAAGGCAGCGAAUUUGUUCUUCGCAUUCGCGAUAUUGUUCCCGCAUUUUCAAAGGUGUGGGACCUUAAGCCUAUGCAUUCGCGAUAUGGUCCUUGCGUUCGCGUAGAGGAACGGGGUAGAGGAAGCUUCGGCAUUAAGCCUACGCAUUCGCGAAGAGGUUCCCGCGUUCGCGGAGGGUCCGUCAGUGGAAGGUACGCGUUCGCGAGAGUCCCCUCGCAUUCGUGAAGGAGGAAUUUUGGGCCAGUGGAAGAUUGUUCAUCGCCUUCGCGAUCGUGAUGUCGCGUUCGCGAAGAAGAACGCACCUGGGUAGAAUUUAAGGUUCAAAAACGAGGGUUGAGUUCAUAACACAAAAUUUUGAUUGAGAGCUCGGUAGAAGGCGAAAUUUGGAGAGAUUUUUGGAGAAAGUUUUUGGGUAAUGAUUCCUAACUCCUUUAUGGUUAUAUUCCACUAAUCUAUGGUUGAUUUCAUCAUUUAAUUUUGGAUUUGGGGUGAAAAAUUGAGAAAGAUUUUUAGGCCAAAUUUUGGGAUUUUGAUCGAGAUUUUGGUAACUCCUUUGAGCAAUUUUGGUACGAGUAAACUCGUGAGUGAAUGGGUGUUUGUAUUUUGCGACUUUUACCUGAUUCCGAGACGUGGACCCGGGGUGACAUUUUGGGAGUUUUUCCUAAUUUCACGCUUUAGCUUCAAAUUAAUUAGCUAAAUUAGUUACUCAUAGUUAUAUUUACAUUAUGAAAUUUAUUUGAAUAGAUUCGGGCCAUUUGGAGUCGGAUACUCGUGGAAAGAAUGUGUUAUCGAGGUGAUUUGAGCGGUUCAAGAUAAGUGGCUUGCCUAACCUUGUGUUGUGGACUUUCCCCUUAGGAUGUCUUGAUAUUAU